This 77-nucleotide transfer RNA is filed under the name Bipolaricaulis sanaerobius (SeqCode). Its description in RNAcentral is "tRNA-Ile". It matches the Rfam family "tRNA". Rfam says of the family: Transfer RNA (tRNA) molecules are approximately 80 nucleotides in length. Lineage: Bacteria; Candidatus Bipolaricaulota; Bipolaricaulia (SeqCode); Bipolaricaulales (SeqCode); Candidatus Bipolaricaulaceae. RNAcentral also lists the same sequence under 1 other name. The record is from RNAcentral.
GGGUCCGUGGCUCAGGUGGUUAGAGCGCGCGCCUGAUAAGCGCGAGGUCCCUGGUUCGAGUCCAGGCGGGCCCACCA